CUUCAUUCCUUUCUUUCAUAAAUCAUAGUCUUCACUCUCUCCCUCUCUGCAACUUUUUUCCCCCUGCUAGCAGCAUUAAAAUUUCUCCAAAUAUAAGGUAUGAAAAAGAAGUUCGGUCAAUCGUGCUUAAAAAUUACUUUUUAGCUGCUUCUUUUGAUAACAUGUAAGUCGAGACAUACUGUCAAAAGAAGCAGCUUAAAAAACUAAUCCAUAUUUGACUUAUUCAAGAAAACAUCUUGUUGCAGGCUUUAGGUAUGGUGAAACCAUCCAUAUUCAUGGGUGCCUCAAAGCUUCGAAAAACAGGGAACCUUGAUCAGAAAGACGACGAUAUCUUGAUUGAUCCAACGGUGAAAAAUGGCCUUCAGUUGGCUGCAUGUUCAUCUUAGUUUGGUGCUAUCCUACCUGAGCUUUUUUAUUACUCCGACCCUUCAUUUUUAUUUUUAUUUUCAUUUUUUUACUUGUUGCCUUUUGUUUUUCUUCGACGUUUUGUCUUCUUGACCUUGUAAGACCUUUUCUUGACCUUGUAAGACCCCUCCUACUGUUUACUACCAUCAAUUUUUGUUGUGUUUCAAAUUUUGUGCCGGAGUUUUCCAGUGUAAGAUUUGACCAUUUUCUUUCUUCGUUCUCGCCCAACUCAUGUUCUCCUUCCUUGUCUAUCCCUCCUGAGCUAUUCGAAGUAGACAUAAUACGAGUAUCUCGUCCCAGAAAUCUACCUAGAGAAGAUCAAGAAACUCUCCGAAGAUCAUAUAAUUAGCACUGGUGAUCUGAAACUCAAUUUGUCCAUUGAUGUAAAAGUGUACCAAAAGAGUAUUUACUCAAGUUAGGUACUGAUUAUAUAUAAAAUUUAUAAUCGAUAUUCUUCUGUCUAUUAUAUGCAUAUAUACAAACAAUAUGUAUUCUUUUGAAUUUGAAUUGUUUUACAUGAGCAUAUAGCUGAUAUUUUCUUUCUUGAUUGCA
RNAcentral lists this long non-coding RNA (957 nucleotides) under Olea europaea subsp. europaea. Lineage: Eukaryota; Viridiplantae; Streptophyta; Magnoliopsida; Lamiales; Oleaceae. The record is from RNAcentral.